This 429-nucleotide ribosomal RNA is filed under the name Bacteroidota bacterium. RNAcentral's name for it is "Bacteroidetes bacterium partial 16S ribosomal RNA". It matches the Rfam family "Bacterial small subunit ribosomal RNA", at positions 355 to 776 of the family's 1533-position model. The record is from RNAcentral. Lineage: Bacteria; Pseudomonadati; Bacteroidota.
UAGGGAAUCUUCGGCAAUGGGGGGAACCCUGACCGAGCAACGCCGCGUGAGUGAAGAAGGUUUUCGGAUCGUAAAGCUCUGUUGUUAAGGAAGAACGAGUGUGAGAAUGGAAAGUUCAUGCUGUGACGGUACUUAACCAGAAAGGGACGGCUAACUACGUGCCAGCAGCCGCGGUAAUACGUAGGUCCCGAGCGUUGUCCGGAUUUAUUGGGCGUAAAGCGAGCGCAGGCGGUUAGAAAAGUCUGAAGUGAAAGGCAGUGGCUCAACCAUAGUAGGCUUUGGAAACUGUUUAACUUGAGUGCAGAAGGGGAGAGUGGAAGUCCAUGUGUAGCGGUGAAAUGCGUAGAUAUAUGGAGGAACACCGGUGGCGAAAGCGGCUCGCUGGUCUGUAACUGACGCUGAGGCUAGAAAGCGUGGGGAGCGAACAGG